UACGUAGGGGGCUAGCGUUGCUCGGAAUCACUGGGCGUAAAGGGUGCGUAGGCGGUUCUUUAAGUCUGGGGUGAAAUCCUGGAGCUCAACUCCAGAACUGCCUUUGAUACUGAGGAUCUUGAGUUCGGGAGAGGUGAGUGGAACUGCGAGUGUAGAGGUGAAAUUCGUAGAUAUUCGCAAGAACACCAGUGGCGAAGGCGGCUCACUGGCCCGAUACUGACGCUGAGGCACGAAAGCGUGGGGAGCAAACAGG
RNAcentral lists this ribosomal RNA (253 nucleotides) under uncultured bacterium. RNAcentral describes it as "partial 16S ribosomal RNA". It matches the Rfam family "Bacterial small subunit ribosomal RNA", at positions 524 to 776 of the family's 1533-position model. The record is from RNAcentral.